UAGGGAAUCUUCCACAAUGGACGCAAGUCUGAUGGAGCAACGCCGCGUGAGUGAAGAAGGCUUUCGGGUCGUAAAACUCUGUUGUUGGAGAAGAAUGGUCGGCAGAGUAACUGUUGUCGGCGUGACGGUAUCCAACCAGAAAGCCACGGCUAACUACGUGCCAGCAGCCGCGGUAAUACGUAGGUGGCAAGCGUUAUCCGGAUUUAUUGGGCGUAAAGCGAGCGCAGGCGGUUUUUUAAGUCUGAUGUGAAAGCCCUCGGCUUAACCGAGGAAGCGCAUCGGAAACUGGAAACUUGAGUGCAGAAGAGGACAGUGGAACUCCAUGUGUAGCGGUGAAAUGCGUAGAUAUAUGGAAGAACACCAGUGGCGAAGGCGGCUGUCUGGUCUGUAACUGACGCUGAGGCUCGAAAGCAUGGGUAGCGAACAGGAUUAGAUACCCUGGUAGUCCAUGCCGUAAACGAUGAAUGCUAGGUGUUGGAGGGUUUCCGCCCUUGCAGUGCCGCAGCUAACGCAUUAAGCAUUCCGCCUGGGGAGUACGACCGCAAGGUUGAAAC
RNAcentral lists this ribosomal RNA (554 nucleotides) under uncultured bacterium. RNAcentral describes it as "partial 16S ribosomal RNA". It matches the Rfam family "Bacterial small subunit ribosomal RNA", at positions 355 to 900 of the family's 1533-position model. The record is from RNAcentral.